CCUACGGGUGGCAGCAGUGGGGAAUAUUGGGCAAUGGGCGAAAGCCUGACCCAGCAACGCCGCGUGAAGGAAGAAGGCUUUCGGGUUGUAAACUUCUUUUGACAGGGAAGAGCAGAAGACGGUACCUGUCGAAUAAGCCACAGCUAACUACGUGCCAGCAGCCGGGGUAAUACGUGGGUGGCAAGCGUUGUCCGGAUUUACUGGGUGUAAAGGGAGCGUAGAAGGCUGUGCAAGCCUGAAGGGAAAGGCGGGGGCCCAACCCCUGGAAUGCUUUGGGAACUGUACGGCUGGAGUGCAGGAGAGGUAAGUGGAAUUCCUGGUGUAGCGGUGAAAUGCGUAGAUAUUAGGAGGAACACCAGUGGCGAAGGCGGCUUACUGGACUGUAACUGACGUUGAGGCUCGAAAGCGUGGGGAGCAAACAGGAUUAGAUACCCCAGUAGUC
Molecule: ribosomal RNA, 442 nt
Filed under: uncultured bacterium
Lineage: Bacteria
Description: partial 16S ribosomal RNA
Rfam family: Bacterial small subunit ribosomal RNA
Source: RNAcentral